UGACGUGUAGCUCAGUUGGUAGAGCACCUGACUUUUAAUCAGAGGGUCACAGGUUCGAGACCUGUCACGUCAA
Molecule: transfer RNA, 73 nt
Filed under: Enterococcus thailandicus
Lineage: Bacteria; Bacillati; Bacillota; Bacilli; Lactobacillales; Enterococcaceae
Rfam family: tRNA
About the family: Transfer RNA (tRNA) molecules are approximately 80 nucleotides in length. Their secondary structure includes four short double-helical elements and three loops (D, anti-codon, and T loops).
Source: Rfam by way of RNAcentral